Molecule: long non-coding RNA, 256 nt
Filed under: Mytilus galloprovincialis (Mediterranean mussel)
Lineage: Eukaryota; Metazoa; Mollusca; Bivalvia; Mytilida; Mytilidae
Source: RNAcentral
AAAACAUUAUAAAAGGUUCUCAUGAAAUAUAUCUAUCAUUGUCUAAUCUUAUGUAAUAAUAAACGGAUUAUUGUCCUCCGGCUUAACUUAGCAAAAUAGCGAUAAUUGCUUCUUUUGAAGUUGAGUGUAAGUUUAGCACUUUUGACAGCCAUCGGAUUAAGUUGUAAAAUAGUAAAUCUAUAAUCUCUUUGGAUAUUUGAAAUAAGAAACAUUAUAUUUAAGAAUAAAGAAACAUUUAAAACAAGAAAUAUUCAAC